GCUUAACCGCAAGGAGGGCGCUUACCACGGUAGGAUUCGUGACUGGGGUGAAGUCGUAACAAGGUAGCCGUAUCGGAAGGUGCGGCUGGAUCACCUCCUUUCUAG
This 105-nucleotide ribosomal RNA is filed under the name Rugamonas brunnea. Its description in RNAcentral is "partial 16S ribosomal RNA". It matches the Rfam family "Bacterial small subunit ribosomal RNA", at positions 1433 to 1533 of the family's 1533-position model. The record is from RNAcentral. Lineage: Bacteria; Pseudomonadati; Pseudomonadota; Betaproteobacteria; Burkholderiales; Oxalobacteraceae.